UACGGAGGGGGUUAGCGUUGUUCGGAAUUACUGGGCGUAAAGCGCUCGUAGGCGGAUUGACAAGUUGGGGGUGAAAUCCCGGGGCUCAACCCCGGAACUGCCUCCAAAACUGUCAGUCUUGAGUUCGAGAGAGGUGAGUGGAAUUCCGAGUGUAGAGGUGAAAUUCGUAGAUAUUCGGAGGAACACCAGUGGCGAAGGCGGCUCACUGGCUCGAUACUGACGCUGAGGUGCGAAAGCGUGGGGAGCAAACAGG
Molecule: ribosomal RNA, 253 nt
Filed under: uncultured bacterium
Lineage: Bacteria
Description: partial 16S ribosomal RNA
Rfam family: Bacterial small subunit ribosomal RNA
Source: RNAcentral